AAAAAGAUAAGCUAAAUAAAGCUGAUGGGUUCAUACCCCAUUUAUAAAGGCCCACCUUUUCUUUUUA
Molecule: transfer RNA, 67 nt
Filed under: Trigonopterus selaruensis
Lineage: Eukaryota; Metazoa; Arthropoda; Insecta; Coleoptera; Curculionidae
Description: tRNA-Met
Source: RNAcentral